RNAcentral lists this ribosomal RNA (497 nucleotides) under uncultured bacterium. RNAcentral's name for it is "partial 16S ribosomal RNA". It matches the Rfam family "Bacterial small subunit ribosomal RNA", at positions 28 to 507 of the family's 1533-position model. The record is from RNAcentral.
GAUGAACGCUGGCGGCGUGCCUAAUACAUGCAAGUCGAGCGAACAGACGAGGAGCUUGCUCCUCUGACGUUAGCGGCGGACGGGUGAGUAACACGUGGAUAACCUACCUAUAAGACUGGGAUAACUUCGGGAAACCGGAGCUAAUACCGGAUAAUAUAUUGAACCGCAUGGUUUAAUAGUGCAAGACGGUCUUGCUGUCACUUAUAGAUUGAUCCGCGCCGCAUUAGCUUGUUGGUAAGGUAACGGCUUACCAAGGCAACGAUGCGUAGCCGACCUGAGAGGGUGAUCGGCCACACUAGAACUGAGACACGGUCCAGACUCCUACGGGAGGCAGCAGUAGGGAAUCUUCCGCAAUGGGCGAAAGCCUGACGGAGCAACGCCGCGUGAGUGAUGAAGGUCUUCGGAUCGUAAAACUCUGUUAUUAGGGAAGAACAAAUGUGUAAGUAACUAUACACGUCUUGACGGUACCUAAUCAGAAAGCCACGGCUAACUACGUG